UACAGAGGUCCCAAGCGUUGUUCGGAUUCAUUGGGCGUAAAGGGUGCGUAGGCGGCGCGGUAAGUCGGGUGUGAAAUCUCGGAGCUUAACUCCGAAACUGCAUUCGAUACUGCGGUGCUUGAGGACUGGAGAGGAGACUGGAAUUCAUGGUGUAGCAGUGAAAUGCGUAGAGAUCAUGAGGAAGACCAGUGGCGAAGGCGGGUCUCUGGACAGUUCCUGACACUGAGGCACGAAGGCCAGGGGAGCAAACGGG
RNAcentral lists this ribosomal RNA (253 nucleotides) under uncultured bacterium. RNAcentral's name for it is "partial 16S ribosomal RNA". It matches the Rfam family "Bacterial small subunit ribosomal RNA", at positions 524 to 776 of the family's 1533-position model. The record is from RNAcentral.